AUGGUCAGCGUCAUCAGACGCUGCCCGUUGUCCCUGGCGAUCAUGAACUGGCCCUUCACCGAAUCCGCGUACCAGGCGUCCGUGACCCUGCUGGAGUGCGGGGGCAACCUCCAGCUCCCCGGGGAGUCCCUGCGCCUCCUCUGCCGAGGGUCUGGGUUCAGUUUCGGGAGUUUUGGAAUGUUCUGGAUCCACCAGAGACCCGGGCAGGGGCUGGAAUUCGUUGCUGGGAUCAAUGCUGAUGAUAUCAGCAACACUGGUGGCUACACCGAGUACGCGCCGUCGGUCAAGGGCCGGUUUACGAUCUCCAGGGACAACGGGCAGAGCUCGGUGACACUGACCGUGAACAACCUCAAGGACGAGGACUCCGGAUCCUAUUUCUGUGCCAAAAGUAGUGGCCUCAGGGAGGCCGUGACCCUGCUGGAGUGCGGGGGGGACCUCCAGCCCCCAAGGGGAGUCCCUGACGCUGGUGUGCCACGCCUCUGGCUUCAAUUUCGCAAAAUCUGCAAUGUUCUGGAUCCACCAGAGACCUGGGCUGGGCCUGGAAUACGUUGCGGGGACCAACGGUGA
Molecule: non-coding RNA, 567 nt
Organism: Melozone crissalis (California towhee)
Lineage: Eukaryota; Metazoa; Chordata; Aves; Passeriformes; Passerellidae
Source: the annotation of a RefSeq genome assembly